GGGGAUGUAGCUCAGCGGUAGAGCACAUGCUUUGCAUGUAUGGGGUCCCGGGUUCGAUUCCCGGCAUCUCCA
This is a non-coding RNA of Mus musculus (house mouse), 72 nucleotides long. The record is from Rfam. NCBI's taxonomy places the organism in Eukaryota, Metazoa, Chordata, Mammalia, Rodentia, Muridae.